CGAUGCCGCCACCGACAGAUGAGGCCCUCCUCCCUUAUUUUUCAUGUCAAGCAUCUUUUUCUCCUAUCUCUUCAUCGAAUUUUUCACUUGGCAUGAAUCCAACAGUUCCAAAAUUCUAUAAAUUGCCCUCUCCCUUCCCUUUCUUAAAGGUUUUGCACGAGCGUUUGCGCGGCUAGCACAAGAUGUGCGCACUGUACGAAUGUGUCAUCUGCGCGGGGCACAAGGCGUGGUCUGCGCACGUGACCCAUCGUGCGCUGCCAAGCACGGCUCCACUCACGCACUGUCCAUGUGGUAGGCCUAUACACAGAGGUAUACACAUAGUAGGCUAGCACAUAGAGGCCUAUGCGUGGUAGGCCUACACGCAGAGGCUUGCUCACGAUAAGCCUACAUGCAGUAGGCUUGCAUGUGGCAGGCUAGGCAACCGUGCCACCUGCUAGGGCGUCGCGCGUCGCCAGUUGGGCAGUGAGCCAUUGCCGGCUUAAGAAAUGUGGUACAAUCGUUUGGAUUGUAUGCCUCUGAUUUUUAUACUAUCUUCACGUCGCGUCAUCCACCUAUCGGUCACAUAUAUCAGCCGUCACAUCUCACAUUUUUCGUUGACUCUCACCAAAUUUUGCUAGUUGGUGCAAAUCUGACGAUCCAAAUUUUCUAUAAAUAAAGACUCCCCCUUCACCAUUUCCUCAACACUUUCAUUUCAAUUCUUUCAUCCUCCAAGAGCUUUAAAGAGAGAAGGAGUGAUCUAGAGAGAGAGGGAGAGGAGAAAAACAAAAAAAGGCAUAGUUUCAUCGAGGUUUCAGUAAUGAAUUUAAUAUUUAAUUUUAAACAUCCUAAGGAGCAUUUCUAGAUUGAAAUUAACAAACUUUAAAUUAAUGGUUGCAUUAUUAAAUUAUAUGCUUAAACGAAAAAAUUUUUACAU
This 913-nucleotide long non-coding RNA is filed under the name Carica papaya (papaya). Its description in RNAcentral is "long non-coding RNA (CPAP_LNC009029)". The record is from RNAcentral. Lineage: Eukaryota; Viridiplantae; Streptophyta; Magnoliopsida; Brassicales; Caricaceae.